This 466-nucleotide ribosomal RNA is filed under the name uncultured bacterium. RNAcentral describes it as "partial 16S ribosomal RNA". It matches the Rfam family "Bacterial small subunit ribosomal RNA", at positions 28 to 507 of the family's 1533-position model. The record is from RNAcentral.
GAUGAACGCUGGCGGCGUGCUUAACACAUGCAAGUCGAACGGAAAGGCUCUUGCUUGCAGGGGUACUCGAGUGGCGAACGGGUGCGUAACACGUGGGCGAUCUGCUCUGCACUUUGGGAUAAGCCUGGGAAACUGGGCUUACUCUCGGAUAGGAUGCUGGUUUGGAUGCCAUUGUGGAAAGUUUAUUCGGUGUGGGAUGAGCUUGCGGCCUAUCAGCUUGCUGGUGGAGUAAUGGCCGACCAAGGCGUAGACGGGUAUCCGGCCUGGGAGGGGGUACGGGCACAAUAGGACUGAGAGACGGCCCAGACGGCAACGGGAGGCAGCAGUGGGGAAUAUUGCACAGUGGGCGCAAGCCUGAUGCAGCGACGCCGCGGGGGGGAUGACGUCCUGCGGGUUGUGAACACCAGUCGCUAGGGACGAAGCGCAAGUGACGGUACCUAGAGAAGAAGCACCGGCUAACUACGUG